RNAcentral lists this ribosomal RNA (292 nucleotides) under uncultured bacterium. RNAcentral describes it as "partial 16S ribosomal RNA". It matches the Rfam family "Bacterial small subunit ribosomal RNA", at positions 505 to 796 of the family's 1533-position model. The record is from RNAcentral.
GUGUCAGCAGCCGCGGUAAGACAGAGGGUGCAAACGUUGUUCGGAAUUACUGGGCGUAAAGCGAGUGUAGGCGGUUUCCUAAGUCAGGUGUGAAAGCCCCGGGCUCAACCCGGGAAGUGCACUUGAAACUGGGAGGCUAGAGUAUCGGAGAGGUUGGUGGAAUUCUCGGUGUAGAGGUGAAAUUCGUAGAUAUCGAGAGGAACACCGGUGGCGAAGGCGGCCAACUGGACGAAUACUGACGCUGAGACUCGAAAGCGUGGGGAGCAAACAGGAUUAGAAACCCUGGUAGUCC